RNAcentral lists this ribosomal RNA (455 nucleotides) under uncultured bacterium. RNAcentral describes it as "bacterial SSU rRNA". It matches the Rfam family "Bacterial small subunit ribosomal RNA", at positions 340 to 786 of the family's 1533-position model. The record is from RNAcentral.
UACGGAAGGCAGCAGUGGGGAAUAUUGCACAAUGGGCGCAAGCCUGAUGCAGCCAUGCCGCGUGUAUGAAGAAGGCCUUCGGGUUGUAAAGUACUUUCAGUCGUGAGGAAGGUGUUAAGGUUAAUAACCUUAGCAAUUGACGUUAGCGACAGAAGAAGCACCGGCUAACUCCGUGCCAGCAGCCGCGGUAAUACGGAGGGUGCGAGCGCUAAUCGGAAUUACUGGGCGUAAAAGGGCACGCAGGCGGUUAAUUAAGUUGGAUGUGAAAUCCCCGGGCUUAACCUGGGAAUGGCAUUCAAGACUGGUUAGCUAGAGUCUUGUAGAGGGGGUAGAAUUCCAUGUGUAGCGGUGAAAUGCGUAGAGAUGUGGAGGAAUACCGGUGGCGAAGGCGGCCCCCUGGACAAAGACUGACGCUCAUGUGCGAAAGCGUGGGGAGCAAACAGGGAUUAGAUACC